Molecule: ribosomal RNA, 502 nt
Filed under: uncultured bacterium
Lineage: Bacteria
Description: partial 16S ribosomal RNA
Rfam family: Bacterial small subunit ribosomal RNA
Source: RNAcentral
AUUGAACGCUGGCGGCAUGCCUUACACAUGCAAGUCGAACGGCAGCACGGGUGCUUGCACCUGGUGGCGAGUGGCGAACGGGUGAGUAAUACAUCGGAACGUACCCAGUCGUGGGGGAUAACGUAGUGAAAAUUACGCUAAUACCGCAUACGAUCUAUGGAUGAAAGCGGGGGAUCGCAAGACCUCGCGCGAUUGGAGCGGCCGAUAUGAGAUUAGGUAGUUGGUGAGGUAAAGGCUCACCAAGCCGAAGAUCUGUAGCUGGUCUGAGAGGACGACCAGCCAAACUGGAACUGAGACACGGUCCAGACUCCUACGGGAGGCAGCAGUGGGUAAUUUUGGACAAUGGACGCAAGUCUGAUCCAGCCAUUCCGCGUGCAGGACGAAGGCCUUCGGGUUGUAAACUGCUUUUGUACAGAACGAAAAGGUCUCUAUUAAUACUGGGGGCUCAUGACGGUACUGUAAGAAUAAGCACCGGCUAACUACGUGCCAGCAGCCGCAGUAA